GAGUGAGGUUACCGGGAAACCCAAUUACCCUCCCCUUUCCCAAUCUCCCCAAUUCCUGAAUGGGGAUUCACGAUCCAACUCAAUCCCCAAAGGCCGGUAACGCAUUUUUAACGCCUCUGGUGUUUCAGGUGUCCAUGGGCGGCGCCGAUUGCUUACCAUCAGGUGAUCCGUCAGCUCUUUUACCGGCUUUAUGCCAUUAAAAAAAAUUGUCAUCAGCCUCCGACUGACAGGCAAUAUUCUGUGCAUUUUCAGCGAUCUAACAGCGGCCCUCAAAGUAUCUAUCUAACAUUAAAAAAGGGUUGUCAACGAGGAUGGCGACAAUCCUUUUAACGGAGAGGUCUUUGUUUAGCAAUGGAUAUCUUCUUGCUGAUGUAGAUAAUAGUAUAAGAAUGAUGUUAGUAUAUGAAUUAUAAGAAUGAUGUCAUUGUUAGUUUCGUACAGUAGUGUUUGUGUUGUAGCGGUGUCCCUGCUGUGCGCGCUGUGCGCGGGGCGCGCGGCGCGGGAGUGCGUGUCGGCGCUGACGGCCGGCCUGCAGCUCGCCGUGCACCACUGUCGGCACCACCCCGCACUACUGCCCGCACUCAGGUCGGUGGCGGUACCUACUAUAUGACAAUAGUUAGCGCGCGGCGCGGGAGUGCGUGUCGGCGCUGACGGCCGGCCUGCAGCUCGCCGUGCACCACUGUCGGCACCACCCCGCACUACUGCCCGCACUCAGGUCGGUGGCGGUACCUACUAUAUGACAAUAGUUAGCGCGCGGCGCGGGAGUGCGUGUCGGCGCUGACGGCCGGCCUGCAGCUCGCCGUGCACCACUGUCGGCACCACCCCGCACUACUGCCCGCACUCAGGUCGGUGGCGGUACCUACUAUAUGACAAUAGUUAGCGCGCGGCGCGGGAGUGCGUGUCGGCGCUGACGGCCGGCCUGCAGCUCGCCGUGCACCACUGUCGGCACCACCCCGCACUACUGCCCGCACUCAGGUCGGUGGCGGUACCUACUAUAUGACAAUAGUUAGCGCGCGGCGCGGGAGUGCGUGUCGGCGCUGACGGCCGGCCUGCAGCUCGCCGUGCACCACUGUCGGCACCACCCCGCACUACUGCCCGCACUCAGGUCGGUGGCGGUACCUACUAUAUGACAAUAGUUAGCGCGCGGCGCGGGAGUGCGUGUCGGCGCUGACGGCCGGCCUGCAGCUCGCCGUGCACCACUGUCGGCACCACCCCGCACUACUGCCCGCACUCAGAAAAUUAGAAGAAAACGUACAAACGCCAGCGUUAUCUCAGUACAAAGCUGCUAUAGAAGCCUUAAUACACAACUUAGUGGGUACUGGAACAAGCGGGGACAUGAUGAGGGAACCCCCACCACGACCAAACACCAACCUACAAGCUGCACAGGAGGUCGGCAGGAGAGUCACGCAGAUAUUCCAACAAUCUAAAUCAAAUAUGAACUUACAGAACAUAUUUAAGAAGAAAACUUAAUGGUAAUUGCUUUAAUGAUUUUAAGUAUAGAAAUGAAAUGUCAGGAAAUAUUGGGGUAUGAUGUUUUAUUGCAUUUUUGUUCUAAUAUGAUAAAGAAAUGAAGCUACAGUAAGAUUAUAGCAGUAUCUCUUCACAUAUUAGAACAAUCACGGUAAUAUAACGUCACAAUAUUGUCUCCUAGAUCAUAGAAUGUUCAAAACAAAUUAGAAGGCUAAUGUUUUCAGAUAUUUUCGAAAACUACUUCAAACUCUUAUUCAAUAUUUUCAAAAUUCAGCUAAGUGCCUAGGGUAGUUAUUAGAAUGGAUCAUCGCACUCAGUGUAACGAUAAUUGUAUCCACUCACAUCACAUCUAUGCAGUGAUUUCGAUGACGUUUGAACUAUUAUAAUCCGAUAACAAAUAUGCUGGUGCAUGCAAGCUUAGAUCUAAUAAUGUGUCAAAAGAAAUAAAAAUAAUUAUUUACCUAUUUGUACAAUAACUUCAUUAAAACUAUUUCGUAUGGUGAUCCAGUGAAUUAGAAAUGAAGAAAAUAUUAAUUGUUCGCAUUUCAAAAUGCGUGGUUCGUUGUUUAAAAACUUCGCGGGAGAUGAGAACUGGUUUUCUUGGGGGCGCAAUUUAUCUCUUGCACAAUAAUUUGUAAUUAAAUAGCAUAAACAAUUAUUUAUCUACUUUCUUACACAAUAAUUUUUCAAGCAAGUCAUGCUUACUUCAAGAAUUCUUAUUUUACUUUCGUUAUCUACAAUUUAUAGGGGGUAAGGUUACAAAUAUGUGUUAAAAAAGAUAAAUAGAUAUGUACCCCCUAUGAUAUUGGAUAUUAAAAUGAUUAAAACUGUCAGUAAAAUACCGAUUUAAAAUUAAGAAGAAAUAAAAUAAAUGGGAAUAAGAUACCCUCUUGCGUAAUAAUAUGUAACGUAAUUAAUAAUAAUUUUACAUUUUUUAUCAAAAGUUGAAGCAAUAUUUUCUUGCAAGUCAUACCUAGUAGGAUGGAUGGUCGCCGCCGUAGCCGCUCCGUAUUAAAGAAUAUUAUCAGCAUCUUCGUUUAGAAUAAAUAUAAUAAACAAUUUUGUCAUGAAAGAACUGAAUUGCCAUAACAACACGCCUUUUUUUAUCCCCGAUGGGGUAGACAGAGGUGCACAUUACGGCACUUAUGCCAUUGUACACUUUUCACUAUUUAUGUUAUUACAUGGUGAAAUGAAAAGUGUACAUGGCAUUAAGUAUUUUGAUCAUAAUCUUAUUUGUUUCAAAAAUUGGAUCACCUAGUGAAACAUCUUUGAUUUUUACAUUAAUUAAACAAAAACGCGUAAUAUGAAUAGGAAAUCAAUCAAAACAUUAUAUUUUAUUAAAUCUAUAUUUCCUCUAAACAAAAUAAUAAUGCCAUUAAUCAAACUAUUUUAGUAUAAAUGAAUGCUUUAACCAAACGCAUGACAAGGAUUUCUCGUAACUCCAUAUUUUAGAAGCUAUUUCAUGUUACUAGAUAGCUAAGUCAGAUAAAUGUCGAAAUUAUACAUUCCUCAUGAUAUUACUUCUUUACUCUUAUUUUUAUUUAUCUUUAUGUUCAGUAUAAGCCAAAAUGGUUCAAAUCAUUUUUUAUAUGUAUAUGUUUAACACUAAGAGUCCUAAGUUAAUUAUUAUGUUAUUCGGCUUAUUC
Molecule: long non-coding RNA, 3116 nt
Organism: Spodoptera litura
Lineage: Eukaryota; Metazoa; Arthropoda; Insecta; Lepidoptera; Noctuidae
Source: RefSeq, a predicted model, not a curated record